RNAcentral lists this long non-coding RNA (1394 nucleotides) under Zea mays. RNAcentral describes it as "long non-coding RNA (ZMAY_LNC001705)". The record is from RNAcentral. Lineage: Eukaryota; Viridiplantae; Streptophyta; Magnoliopsida; Poales; Poaceae.
UUCUGAUCAUCAUCUUCUAGAGUCUAGACUCCAAACUCCAAAGCCCUAGCGCCGCCAUCCGCCAAAUUGCCAGCGAUCGCCGCCUCGCCAGUCGCCGCCGAUCUGUGCAUGCACUACGGAAGGUCCCGAGGAGUUGACGGGCUGACGGGGUGAAGGCUGACGCGUUGUUGAUCGCAGCCGGUUGCCGCUCGCCGCUCGAUGGCCACAGGCCAUCGUCGGAUCGUCCCUCUCCCUCAUGAUAAUGUAUUUUGUUUUCCAAUUAAAUAACCAUUUUAGAAUCAUAUUAUCAUAAUAAUGUAUUUUGUUUUCCAAUUUAGAAUUCCGAUAACAAGUACUCAGCUCAAGGAUUGGAUCAACCGUGACAUCACUCUUUUUUAUUAGUGGAAGAAAUUGCAUCAGCCUUCUAUCCAUAAUUUGUGUAAGCUAAAUUAACUUUUUUAUAUUAAUUUCAUUUUAGAUUGGUCUCUGUUAUUACGUAGCUGUUGUGGAUUUUAAUCAACCUCAUUGAAUCCUUAAUUUUUAUAGGAUAACCAUGAAAUUCAGAAAGACUACAAUUGAUUUUUGGCUCAAGAAGAAAGAUGAUGUAGUUGAUGUACCAGAUGGUCCUGAACAAAAUUUUUCGGUGGAUCCUUCCCAAUGAUUUCAAGUCGUCCAACUAAUCGUGAUUAAUCGCGAUUAGUUGGGCUGGUCGGUAAUUGGUACACGAUUUGCUGGACGACUCGACCAGACAACCUAGUCGUUCUGGUCGUCCGACUAAUCGUCGACUAGGGCGACUAGUCGUCCGACUUAUGUGUCCUGGUCGUCCCGGCUAGGGUUUAGUUAUUGGACCUUUUUAAGCCCAUCUACAGUCACUGCACAUAUCCUCUUCUCUCAUAUUCUAACCUACCCGCCAACAGUCUCUGGCUCUCUGCAUGUCUCCUCUCCUCUCUUGCACCGCCCCUGCAGUCCUGGACUUUGAUUGACAACGGCUACACCGGCGGGCGGCGGCUACAACACCCUGCGUCCCUGCCCCUUCUCCUGGAGUCCUGCAGCCUGCUGCACUACUGCAGUCUCUAAUUUAUAUAAUGUAUACAGGUAUAUUUAUAUAUAUAUCUAUAUAAGUAUAGCUACUAAUAUAGAACGACCAGGGACUGACUAGGACCGACUAAGGGUUGACUAGUCACCCUAGUCGUCGCCUAAUCGCGACUAGUCGCCUGGUCGGUCCCAGGGUUCGACCAGGCGACUAGGCAACUUGAAAUCAUUGAUCCUUCCUGUGAAAUGGAUGAAGGUGCUGAUUGGCUUGCUGCACAAUUAGAAGAGGAACAGGAAGAACAUCAAGAAGAAGAAAUUUCAAGACAGAGACCGUCUAAAAUCCAGAGAGUUGAUCAUGAAGGUACUAGUGUUCUAGAAGUUGA